RNAcentral lists this ribosomal RNA (504 nucleotides) under uncultured bacterium. RNAcentral's name for it is "bacterial SSU rRNA". It matches the Rfam family "Bacterial small subunit ribosomal RNA", at positions 10 to 507 of the family's 1533-position model. The record is from RNAcentral.
AGUUUGAUCAUGGCUCAGAUUGAACGCUGGCGGCAUGCCUUACACAUGCAAGUCGAACGGCAGCACGGGAGCUUGCUCCUGGUGGCGAGUGGCGAACGGGUGAGUAAUACAUCGGAACGUACCCGUGAAGUGGGGAUAACGUAGCGAAAGUUACGCUAAUACCGCAUAUUCUGUGAGCAGGAAAGAGGGGGAUCGCAAGACCUCUUGCUUUAGGAGCGGCCGAUGUCGGAUUAGCUAGUUGGUGAGGUAAAGGCUCACCAAGGCGACGAUCCGUAGCGGGUCUGAGAGGAUGAUCCGCCACACUGGGACUGAGACACGGCCCAGACUCCUACGGGAGGCAGCAGUGGGGAAUUUUGGACAAUGGGCGCAAGCCUGAUCCAGCCAUGCCGCGUGAGUGAAGAAGGCCUUCGGGUUGUAAAGCUCUUUCGGUGGGGAAGAAAUUGCUUCGGUUAAUACCUGGAGUAGAUGACGGUACCCGCAUAAGAAGCACCGGCUAACUACGUG